Molecule: ribosomal RNA, 253 nt
Filed under: uncultured bacterium
Lineage: Bacteria
Description: partial 16S ribosomal RNA
Rfam family: Bacterial small subunit ribosomal RNA
Source: RNAcentral
UACAGAGGGUGCGAGCGUUGUUCGGAAUUAUUGGGCGUAAAGCGCGUGUAGGCGGCGACGUAUGUCGGGUGUGAAAGCCCUCGGCUUAACCGGGGAAGUGCGCCCGAAACUACGUUGCUAGAGUGCUGGAGAGGGUAGUGGAAUUCCGGGUGUAGAGGUGAAAUUCGUAGAUAUCCGGAGGAACACCAGUGGCGAAGGCGACUACCUGGACGGACACUGACGCUGAGACGCGAAAGCGUGGGUAGCAAACAGG